This 76-nucleotide transfer RNA is filed under the name Subdoligranulum variabile. RNAcentral describes it as "tRNA-Thr". It matches the Rfam family "tRNA". Rfam says of the family: Transfer RNA (tRNA) molecules are approximately 80 nucleotides in length. Their secondary structure includes four short double-helical elements and three loops (D, anti-codon, and T loops). Further hydrogen bonds mediate the characteristic L-shaped molecular structure. tRNAs have two regions of fundamental functional importance: the anti-codon, which is responsible for specific mRNA codon recognition, and the 3' end, to which the tRNAs corresponding amino acid is attached (by aminoacyl-tRNA synthetases). tRNAs cope with the degeneracy of the genetic code in two manners: having more than one tRNA (with a specific anti-codon) for a particular amino acid; and 'wobble' base-pairing, i.e. permitting non-standard base-pairing at the 3rd anti-codon position. RNAcentral also lists the same sequence under 5 other names. The record is from RNAcentral. Lineage: Bacteria; Bacillati; Bacillota; Clostridia; Eubacteriales; Oscillospiraceae.
GCUGGUAUGGCUCAGUUGGUAGAGCAGCUGAUUCGUAAUCAGCAGGUCGCCAGUUCAAGUCUGGCUACCAGCUCCA